GCAGGAACCCGAGGUCCAGCACGGGCCGGGUCGCGUGAGGGGGCGCUGUCUGCACUUCCGGCAGGUGGCGGGAGAAAAGACCAGCUCGAAUUCUGCCUGUUGUAGGUGUUGGAACCCAGAGAGGUCGCCAUCUUGAGAGCGUCUGGAGGCACCGGUGGCUUCCGAGUUGGGAAAGAGGACCGCCACAAUCCCGUCAGACCCCGAGGCUGGCUCCCGGCCCGUUGACGUCUUAUUUAUGCGUCGUGGGCGCCCUUGGGGGCGGUCCUUGUGCGUCGUGACGUCACCUGGAAUUUCUUCGCUUGACAAUUGGGAGUGCUAGUGGGUUGAAACCUGGUUCUCUCUUCGAGUUGGUCCCUGUUUGGGAAGAAAAGCCACAAGUACAGUUGAUUUAUUUUAAAAUGGAGCAAAAAAAUAAAGGAACAAGUAAGGAAUGAGGGACUGGGAUUAAAACAGCGUUUGCCCCCAUGGAGCGCUUAUUAUGCCUAAUGGUGAGCGAACGUCUUGCUGUGCCAGUAUCUUAAUUCUCACAAUUUCUCUGUAAGGUUGCCAGCUUUAGCAAACAAAAACGCAGAACGUCUAGUUAAAGUUGAAGUUCAGAUAAACAACAAACCAUAUUUUAGUAUAAAUAUGUCCCAAACAUAUUUAUACUAAAAAGUGACUCGUUUAUCUGAAAGUCGAAUUUGGCUGGAUGUCCUAUAUUUUAUCUGGUAACCACUACCCUCUAGGCAAGUAUGAUUUUCCCUUUUUUUUAAUAGAAAAGGAAACAAGUUUAGAGAAAUUAAGUAACUUCUUGUCGUGUAGCUAAAAAUGAAGUCACAAAUCCAUAUUGUUACAUGUAUCAGUAAUUUGUUCCUUUCUAUUACUGAGAAUUCUAAUGUACCAGGGGGAUUUAAAAAAUCCAUAUUCCCAGUUGAUAGACAUUUGAGUUGUUCCAGAUUUCGUGACUAUAAAUAAAGCCAUUAUAACAUUCACAUA
Molecule: non-coding RNA, 975 nt
Organism: Leptonychotes weddellii (Weddell seal)
Lineage: Eukaryota; Metazoa; Chordata; Mammalia; Carnivora; Phocidae
Source: RefSeq, a predicted model, not a curated record